GUGCUCACUUCAACAGCACAUAUACUAAAACUGGAUUGAUAAAGAGAAGAUUAGCAUGAUGACAUGCAAAUUUGUGAAGCAUUCCAUAUUUAA
This 93-nucleotide small nuclear RNA is filed under the name Jaculus jaculus (lesser Egyptian jerboa). The record is from RNAcentral. Lineage: Eukaryota; Metazoa; Chordata; Mammalia; Rodentia; Dipodidae.